RNAcentral lists this transfer RNA (83 nucleotides) under Actinomycetota bacterium. RNAcentral's name for it is "tRNA-OTHER". The record is from RNAcentral. Lineage: Bacteria; Bacillati; Actinomycetota.
GGACGGGGAAGAGCAGUAGCUGGAGAACUUGUAAAACCGUUGUCCGAAAGGACUUAAGGGUUCGAGUCCCUUGCCCUCCGCCA